CUUUCCGUCGACUGUUCUGGAAGUUCUUAACCAGUUUGGUCUGUGACGUCCAUCAAAGCUUCAACUGUCAAAAAUAGGAAGUAGAAAAUGAAUCCAGGGAAUUUGAUUUUUAAAGAAUUUAUUUGUAUUGACCUUAUUCCUAGCCCCCAUGAGCCUUUGCGUGAAUUAUGGGUGAAACUUCCAGUAGACGCUGGAACCUGCAUGUAUUUACAUUACAACUGUAGAGCCGACAGCGCAAUUCCUUUUGUUUUAGAUCUAUAACUACAUAUAAAUGUGGAAAAACCAGCUGUCGUGUCUUAAAAGAGGCGACGUAACAACUCCGGUGCUAAAAUUGAGGGAUUGGAGGAUGACCUUAAAAAACAUAACAUAUAGUAGCAUUUUUAGCUACUGUUUUUAACUACUGUUUUUAGCUACUUUCUCAAUUCAGCUGCGGCAGGUGGUGAAGCUAUGAACAAUCUUAAAAGUUCACAUCAUAAUUCUUUAUGCAUAUUUGUGCUGAACGUUCACAUCAUAAUUCUUUAUUUCUACCUAUUUCUGCCAGAGUUAGCACACAGUGCUGAUCAAUUGUAACGUUCUCUCUUCACGUGCUUGUGUUUACAUGCUGCGAUGAGGGAUGCAUCGCGGUGAAGCUUUUGCCCGUUUCAUGUUUUGACAAAGUCAGCUGCGGUUUAAACAGGUAAUUUUGGAAUAGCUGAUACCAGGAGAUGCAGCGAUUACACACCAAAUAUCUUUUCUGCUUUAGUGACACUGCUGUCAGCAGCGCGGUUAAGCUAGUUUCAUAUUCGACAUUCGUCACACAUUCAGUAAUGAACGGCAAUAUUUCUCAAUCACCUUUGCUAAAAAAAAAAAAAA
Molecule: long non-coding RNA, 852 nt
Organism: Oryzias melastigma (Indian medaka)
Lineage: Eukaryota; Metazoa; Chordata; Actinopteri; Beloniformes; Adrianichthyidae
Exons: 2
Source: RefSeq, a predicted model, not a curated record